AACGAACGCUGGCGGCAGGCUUAACACAUGCAAGUCGAACGGUUGUAGCAAUACAGCAGUGGCGCACGGGUGAGUAACACGUGGAUAUCUGCCUUUUGGUUCGGAAUAACUCCGGGAAACUGGAGCUAAUACCGGAUGGUUCCUACGGGAUAAAGAUUUAUCGCCAAAAGAUGAGUCCGCGUACGAUUAGCUAGUUGGUGAGGUAAUGGCUCACCAAGGCGACGAUCGUUAGCUGGUCUGAGAGGACGAUCAGCCACACUGGGACUGAGACACGGCCCAGACUCCUACGGGAGGCAGCAGUGGGGAAUAUUGGACAAUGGGGGCAACCCUGAUCCAGCCAUGCCGCGUGAGUGAUGAAGGCCUUCGGGUUGUAAAGCUCUUUUGCGGGACGAUGAUGACGGUACCCGCAGAAUAAGCCCCGGCAACUUCGUGCCAGCAGCCGCGGUAAU
Molecule: ribosomal RNA, 449 nt
Filed under: uncultured bacterium
Lineage: Bacteria
Description: bacterial SSU rRNA
Rfam family: Bacterial small subunit ribosomal RNA
Source: RNAcentral